This 474-nucleotide ribosomal RNA is filed under the name uncultured bacterium. Its description in RNAcentral is "bacterial SSU rRNA". It matches the Rfam family "Bacterial small subunit ribosomal RNA", at positions 33 to 507 of the family's 1533-position model. The record is from RNAcentral.
ACGCUGGCGGCGCGCCUAACACAUGCAAGUCGAACGGAGCUACGUUUUCAGAAGUUUUCGGAUGGACGAAGAUUUAGCUUAGUGGCGAACGGGUGAGUAACGCGUGGGUAACCUGCCCUUAAGAGGGGGGACAACAGAGGGAAACUUCUGCUAAUACCCCAUAUGAGCGUAGCUGAAAUGCUAUUCUUGAAAACUCCGGUGCUUAAGGAUGAGCCUGCAUCUGAUUAGCUAGUUGGGGGUGUAAUGGACCACCAAGGCGACGAUCAGUAGCUGGUUUGAGAGGAUGAUCAGCCACAAUGGGACUGAGACACGGCCCAUACUCCUACGGGAGGCAGCAGUAGGGAAUUUUGCGCAAUGGGCGAAAGCCUGACGCAGCAACGCCGCGUGAUUGAAGAAGCCCUUCGGGGUGUAAAGAUCUGUCAGUGGGGACGAAACUUGACGGUACCCACAGAGGAAGCAUCGGCUAACUCCGUG